This 484-nucleotide ribosomal RNA is filed under the name uncultured bacterium. RNAcentral's name for it is "partial 16S ribosomal RNA". It matches the Rfam family "Bacterial small subunit ribosomal RNA", at positions 30 to 507 of the family's 1533-position model. The record is from RNAcentral.
AUUGAACGCUGGCGGCAGGCCUAACACAUGCAAGUCGAGCGGAUGAAGGGAGCUUGCUCCUGGAUUCAGCGGCGGACGGGUGAGUAAUGCCUAGGAAUCUGCCUGGUAGUGGGGGAUAACGUCCGGAAACGGGCGCUAAUACCGCAUACGUCCUGAGGGAGAAAGUGGGGGAUCUUCGGACCUCACGCUAUCAGAUGAGCCUAGGUCGGAUUAGCUAGUUGGUGGGGUAAAGGCCUACCAAGGCGACGAUCCGUAACUGGUCUGAGAGGAUGAUCAGUCACAAUGAAACUGAGAAAAGGUCAAGAAUCCUACGGGAGGCAGCAGUGGGGAAUAUUGGACAAUGGGCGAAAGCCUGAUCCAGCCAUGCCGCGUGUGUGAAGAAGGUCUUCGGAUUGUAAAGCACUUUAAGUUGGGAGGAAGGGCAGUAAGUUAAUACCUUGCUGUUUUGACGUUACCAACAGAAUAAGCACCGGCUAACUUCGUG